UCAAAAUCAAUUCACAAAACAAUAAACCCCGUUAUGGAUGAAUUUUAAAAUACAUAAACCGUUACCAGUAAUCCUUUUAUUGCCAUGUUAAGUUAUUAAACAAAAUGGGUUUACUUCGUAUAAUAAUUAUAGUUUAUAUGCUGUUAUAUAUAGUUUUAUACUUUGGGUUAGUUGGAGGACUGUUAUAUCUUCGUGCUGUUGUCAUCCAUAACUAUAGCGGCGAUGUACCAUACAGUACUGGAUAAAAUAAGAAGUCAAUUUUAGAAAAAAAACUUUAUUCAUACACAAAAAUAUAAAAGGCACUAAAAUGGACGGUUUAAGUCUUUUAAUAUAAGUAAUCUUUACUAAUGGAAUUAAAAAUAAACCUAACGUCAUAUAAAAGGAUUACAAAUAUAACGCCGUGUACACACUUAUGCUACAAGUAAAAAGUCGUAAAAAACAUAUAUUAACGUUAGUAAUACAUGAAGAAUCAUUUUAUUGCCUUGCCACAGAAAUAAAUUUGAACUUUAUACACAGAGUGCUUUACUUAGUGUGAACACGGCUUAACUUUUCACAUUUCCUUAUCAAAUUAAAUUAUACUAAACAAAA
Long non-coding RNA from Papilio polytes (common Mormon), 588 nucleotides. RefSeq lists it as uncharacterized. NCBI's taxonomy places the organism in Eukaryota, Metazoa, Arthropoda, Insecta, Lepidoptera, Papilionidae. The transcript has 2 exons. The record is from RefSeq and is a predicted model, not a curated record.